UACGUAGGGUGCGAGCGUUGUCCGAAUUUACUGGGCGUAAAGCGCGCGUAGGCGGCUCUUUAAGUCCGGGGUGAAAGGUCCAGCGCUCAACGCGGACAGUGCCCUGGAGACUGGGGGGCUUGAGUGUGGCAGGGGGGACCGGAAUUCCUGGUGUAGCGGUGAAAUGCGUAGAUAUCAGGAGGAACACCGGUGGCGAAGGCGGGUCCCUGGGCUAACACUGACGCUGAGGCGCGAAAGCGCGGGGAGCGAACGGG
This 254-nucleotide ribosomal RNA is filed under the name uncultured bacterium. Its description in RNAcentral is "partial 16S ribosomal RNA". It matches the Rfam family "Bacterial small subunit ribosomal RNA", at positions 524 to 776 of the family's 1533-position model. The record is from RNAcentral.